GACGAACGCUGGCGGCGUGCUUAACACAUGCAAGUCGAACGGAAAGGCCCUGCUUUUGUGGGGUGCUCGAGUGGCGAACGGGUGAGUAACACGUGAGUAACCUGCCCUUGACUUUGGGAUAACUUCAGGAAACUGGGGCUAAUACCGGAUAGGAGCUCCUGCUGCAUGGUGGGGGUUGGAAAGUUUCGGCGGUUGGGGAUGGACUCGCGGCUUAUCAGCUUGUUGGUGGGGUAGUGGCUUACCAAGGCUUUGACGGGUAGCCGGCCUGAGAGGGUGACCGGCCAAAAUGGGAAUGGGGUAAGGCCCAGAACACUAAGGGAGGGAGGCGUGGGGAAUAUUGCAACAGGGGCGGAAGGCUGAUGCAGCAACGCCGCGUGCGGGAUGACGGCCUUCGGGUUGUAAACCGCUUUCGCCUGUGACGAAGCGUGAGUGACGGUAAUGGGUAAAGAAGCACCGGCUAACUACGUG
This 468-nucleotide ribosomal RNA is filed under the name uncultured bacterium. Its description in RNAcentral is "partial 16S ribosomal RNA". It matches the Rfam family "Bacterial small subunit ribosomal RNA", at positions 28 to 507 of the family's 1533-position model. The record is from RNAcentral.